CUCUAUCCAACCACCACCACCACCACCACCACCACCACCACCACUUUAAUUCAUUGUCACAUACGAAGGGUGGGGCCGGAGAUUAUUUAUCGCGGGUCCCACACAUGUGAGAAGGAUGUCAGGUAGUGUCUCCACUUUUUUCACCAUUUUCAUCUUGCCUUCUCUAAUAUGAAAGAAACAAAGUGUGCACUAUCUAUAGCAUUCAUGGCACUCCUCUUAAUGUCCCAAAGUUUUCCUUCGUCAGCUCAUCAAACUAUCACUAAAUCACCAAAUGGAAUUCAAAGUCGAAACUCGGUUGCUAUCGACUCUCGAAAUCUUGGCGUGCAAAUUAAAAGGAGGGUACGCAUAAUACCAACCUCUGCCGGCACUGCUUCUCAUGCAAAACCAAAAUCAUCAGCAAAUCGUAAGGACAAAUCUAUGUUUCAACUGUGUUCUCUUCUCGGUGUUUCCAUUUUCUUUGGCUUUUUCUUGAUCUAAAGAUUUGCCCCUUUUUAGUUAUUACUUCACCUGCAUCAUCUCCCUUUGCUCGUGAGCAGUUUGGAAGUAAAUGAAAAUGGAAAAACUCAUUUUAGAUUGUUGUAAUAUGUUUUAUGUCCUUUGUUAUAUUGCGUGAUAUGAAACAGAUUAAGGUCUUGAGUUCAAGUCGAUGAUUUGUUAUGAAAAUUUCUCGUAAUAACUUGUGCAGACGAAGGAACAUUUGAAAAACAAAACAUACAUGAAUAAAUUUCUUUAUUUUUCCAAUAAUCAGAUGAAGUGAUAAAAUGUGUUCAAAGGA
This 775-nucleotide long non-coding RNA is filed under the name Olea europaea subsp. europaea. Lineage: Eukaryota; Viridiplantae; Streptophyta; Magnoliopsida; Lamiales; Oleaceae. The record is from RNAcentral.